AUUGAACGCUGGCGGCAUGCUUUACACAUGCAAGUCGAACGGUAACAGGUUAAGCUGACGAGUGGCGAACGGGCGAGUAAUGCAUCGGAACGUGCCCGGUCGUGGGGGAUAACGCAGCGAAAGCUGCGCUAAUACCGCAUACGAUCUGAGGAUGAAAGCGGGGGACCGUAAGGCCUCGCGCGAUCGGAGCGGCCGAUGUCAGAUUAGGUAGUUGGUGGGGUAAAGGCUCACCAAGCCGACGAUCUGUAGCUGGUCUGAGAGGACGACCAGCCACACUGGGACUGAGACACGGUCCAGACUCCUACGGGAGGCAGCAGUGGGGAAUUUUGGACAAUGGGCGCAAGCCUGAUCCAGCAAUGCCGCGUGCCAGGAAGAAGGCCUC
Molecule: ribosomal RNA, 382 nt
Filed under: uncultured bacterium
Lineage: Bacteria
Description: bacterial SSU rRNA
Rfam family: Bacterial small subunit ribosomal RNA
Source: RNAcentral